UCUAAUAUGGCAGAUUAGUGCAGUGGAUUUAAGCUCCAUAAAUAAAGUAAUUUACUCUUUUUUUAGAA
RNAcentral lists this transfer RNA (68 nucleotides) under Galinthias amoena. Its description in RNAcentral is "tRNA-Leu". The record is from RNAcentral. Lineage: Eukaryota; Metazoa; Arthropoda; Insecta; Mantodea; Hymenopodidae.